GUAAUGCCCACCCAAGCCUAUACAAGUACGGGCUCUGAGAGGAGGGGCCCGGAGAUGGUUACUGAGACACGGACCCAGGCCCUAUGGGGCGCAGCAGGCGAGAAACCUUUGCAAUGUGCGAAAGCACGACAAGGUUAAUCCGAGUGUCUCCUGCUAAAGGAGUCUUUUGUCAGUUGUAGAAUCACUGGUGAAUAAGGGGUGGGCAAGUUCUGGUGUCAGCCGCCGCGGUAAAACCAGCACCUCGAGUGGUCAGGAGGUUUAUUGGGCCUAAAGCAUCCGUAGCCGGUUGCAUAAGUUUUCGGUUAAAUCUAUGCGCUUAACGUAUAGGCCGCCGAAAAUACUGUGCAGCUAGGGAGUGGGAGAGGUACACGGUACUCGAUAGGAAGGGGUAAAAUCCUUUGAUCUAUUGAAGACCACCUGUGGCGAAGGCGGUGUACCAGAACACGUUCGACGGUGAGGGAUGAAAGCUGGGGGAGCAAACCGGAUUAGAUACCCGGGUAGUCCCAGCUGUAAACGAUGCAGACUCGGUGAUGCAUUGGCUUGUGGCCAAUGCAGUGCCGCAGGGAAGCCGUUAAGUCUGCCGCCUGGGAAGUACGUACGCAAGUAUGAAACUAAAGGAAUUGGCGGGGGAGCACCACAAGGGAUGAGCNUGCGGUCAAUUGGAUCAC
Molecule: ribosomal RNA, 668 nt
Filed under: uncultured archaeon
Lineage: Archaea
Description: bacterial SSU rRNA
Rfam family: Archaeal small subunit ribosomal RNA
Source: RNAcentral